This 287-nucleotide unclassified non-coding RNA is filed under the name Hevea brasiliensis (rubber tree). Lineage: Eukaryota; Viridiplantae; Streptophyta; Magnoliopsida; Malpighiales; Euphorbiaceae. The record is from RNAcentral.
CUUUCUCUCUCUGUUUUCUCUACAUUUGCGCUUCUUUUUUCUCUCCGUUUUCUGUUUCCCUGCCCAUUUCCCUUGUUGGCUCUCUUUCUCUCUCCUUCUCUCUCAUUCUUUAUGUUCAAGAUAUGAUUAUAGCUUUACUGAGUCACAGCCGGGUGGAUUUCUUCUGCCUUUCUAGAACAACCCCUUAGCUUUCCUUCUCUCCCUCCUCUCUAUAAAGGAAAAACAAGGGUGGUUUUUGUUAUGAUGGAUGAUGUCGGGGAAAGGAAAUCAUUGCAUGAUAAAGAAGA